CCUACGGGUGGCAGCAGUGGGGAAUAUUGCACAAUGGGGGAAACCCUGAUGCAGCGACGCCGCGUGAGUGAAGAAGUAAUUCGUUAUGUAAAGCUCUAUCAGCAGGGAAGAAAAUGACGGUACCUGAGUAAGAAGCCCCGGCUAACUACGUUCCAGCAGCCGCGGUAAUACGUAGGGGGCAAGCGUUAUCCGGAUUUACUGGGGGGAAAGGGAGCGUAGACGGCAGGGCAAGUCUGGAGUGAAAGGCGGGGGCUCAACCCCCGGACUGCUCUGGAAACUGUACGGCUGGAGUGCAGGAGAGGGAAGUGGAAUUCCUAGUGGAGCGGUGAAAUGCGUAGAUAUUAGGAGGAACACCAGUGGCGAAGGCGGCUUACUGGACUGUAACUGACGUUGAGGCUCGAAAGCGUGGGGAGCAAACAGGAUUAGAUACCCGAGUAGUC
Molecule: ribosomal RNA, 440 nt
Filed under: uncultured bacterium
Lineage: Bacteria
Description: partial 16S ribosomal RNA
Rfam family: Bacterial small subunit ribosomal RNA
Source: RNAcentral